UCACACUUACAAGUCAACUUCACAAAACAUACAAAAUACUAGCAAUCUAGCACAUAUAUGUUUCAAAAAGUACUACACAUUAAUUCCAUAAACCCGCAGCAAAUGAGUAGCAGUCACUUGACACAGUUUUGGUGCAUAUAGGACACAACAUAUCACUUGUUAAUACUAACAAAACCAUCCUUCCAAAAAUUAAUAGAAUAAAUGACUAGAUAUAGCAAAUAUCAUCAACAUUUCACCCCUCAUAGGGGACGAAACCAUACCUAUGUGGUUAAUAUAUGGCGUUGAGAGAAUGCAACAACAUCUCUGUGUGGUAAAUGUAUGGCGUUGGCGUUUGAAAGAAGAAUAAGUCAACUUCUUAUCAGAAACCAGGGAGAGAAAUCCAGAGGGUUUUUGCACUAACUCUUCAACUAAGAGACAACACACCCAUAAAGUGUUGAAUUAUCAACACCCUGUGGCAUUAAAAAAAGCCCAAAAAAAAGUAGCAUUGUGAGUACAGGAAUGAGUACAAUAUAAAAAAAACUUAAAAUGAUAAGGGAGACUUACAGUUAUAGGUGAAGCUAUUAAGUAUUCAAACUUAAGGAUUAACUAAACAAAUGACCAGUCAACAAAUCCUUAAGACACUGUUUACUUCAUAGGUGAUUUUGGAAAGAAAAGAAAGUUUGAAGAGAUGUAGAAAAUCACAAGGCUAACAAAAAAAUGUUUCCCUUCAGAACUCAAAGGAAAAUUUGAAGUUAAUUUUAGGAUGGUAUAAAUAUAUGCUUAACACAGGCAACUAGAAGCAAAUUCUUAGCUUAAAUGAGAAUAUAUAAGCCUUUUAUGCACCACAAUAGGUAAACCUCAAAACUUACAAAUGUAGACUGAAUUAAAUUAAGAUCCAAAAACAUAUGCAAAAGAAUCCAGCUAUAAACCUCUUCAAAUGGUAAAAAGGAAUUCUUGAUUAAAAUAUUUGCACCUUAGGAACAAGUUAAUACUAAAGUGGUUAAUUAAGUCAAGAAGUGGUUACUCAUUAACCAUUCUAAAUAUUGUUAUACAAUUGAGUGGUUAAAUAAUCCUAAACAGUAACUCCUUUUCAGUAAUUUUCAAAUAACAUUUGCUAAUUGCUUAGAAUAAUUUAGGAAGAUACAUUGAAUGGAAAAUAAAAAUGAAAAGAUAGAUGAAUAGUAUAUUUUUGUUAUGAAAUAUAUAGUUCCGAAAUACAUUUCUAAAAGUUUCCUGUGAUCCAAUUUUCAUCCUUAGAAUAUAUAAGAAAAGAUAGAAGUAAGGAAGAAAGAGAACAUUAAUAAGAAAAUCUAAGAAAGUUGAAUCAAUGUAACAAUUCAAUCACUACAGUUACCUGUAGCCUAAAUACAAAAGACAGAUCCCUUUGUUUAAGGUGUUCCUGCAUAAAUCAAUAUACACAGUUAAGCAUCAUUGUUUAAAAACUUUGACACCCUCCAACUUCAUCAUAUAAAUUGGUAAUCUUACACUGAGUCUGUAUACAAUGAAGUUGUAGAUGCAAAGUAACCAGAUUAACAAAGGCAUAUAUCAUUUAAGACAAUAUAUUUGAAAACAAGUUGUUGUGUGACUCUGUUUGAAAAAAAAGGCAUAAUUAUAUUCAAGAACACACACAUAUUAAAUAACACAAACAAGCCAUAACAAUAAUAAAAUUACAAUCACAUCUAGCAUUUAAGUAUGUUCUAUGCAUAUUGGAUACAAGUUUGUAAGGACUAUGUACAAGCCUUUGUAACGAAACAAGGGGUCCUAACUCCAAAAGACAAGCCAUGUAAGAAAACACAGGGCUUCUAACCUAUCAAAGAUAAGCCUUAUAACAAAACAAAGGUUUAUAAAAUAGCUAAGUUAAUUGCUAUAACUCUCAACAUUAAUAUGAGGAAAAAAUGAGAUUAAGUGGCAGAAACAAAUGAACCAUAAAAGCAUCACUCAUAGAUCAGCAUAGCUCAAAAUUUUAAUACCCAAAAACAGAUUAGCACGCUUAGAAACCAGAAUGCAACAACAAAGGAAGGUUGAAGUCACAAAAAUCAUUCAUACAUAAACAAAGGCACUAGAAAUCAGUCAUCUCUCGCAUCCCAAAACCCAUCCAGUGUACAAGAUCAUAGUUGAGCUUUAAAAACACAGUAACAGCAAGGGUUCAAAUAAGUAGAAGCCACACCACUAACUCAACAAAGGUUUGAAGAAUGAAGCAAGGGUAUAUGUUAGUAUAUAUUUG
RNAcentral lists this long non-coding RNA (2203 nucleotides) under Glycine max (soybean). RNAcentral describes it as "long non-coding RNA (GMAX_LNC003177)". Lineage: Eukaryota; Viridiplantae; Streptophyta; Magnoliopsida; Fabales; Fabaceae. The record is from RNAcentral.